RNAcentral lists this long non-coding RNA (533 nucleotides) under Marmota monax (woodchuck). Lineage: Eukaryota; Metazoa; Chordata; Mammalia; Rodentia; Sciuridae. The record is from RNAcentral.
AUGAACCUCUGUGUCCCCAAAAGCUUUAUGUUUCUGUUGUGUUUUCUUUUGUGUUUUGUCAACCUGCUUUCCCAGAAGUUUGUAUGGAGUUGUUAUGGUUCAUUCAGAUGUGAGGUGUCCCCCAAAAGCUCACGUGUGAGACAACGUAAGAAGGUUCAGAGGAGAAAUGAUUGUGCUAUAUCCUUAACCUAAUCAGCAAAUUAAUCCCUGGUGGGAUUAACUGAGUGGCAAUUAGAGGCAAGUGGGGUGUGGCUGGAGGAAGUGGUUCACCGGGGUCAUGGCUAUGGGGUAUAUAUUUUGUAUCUGGAGAGUGAAGUCUUUCUCUGCUUCCCAACCAUCAUGUCAGCUGCUUUGCUUGGGCAUAUUCUUCCUCCAUGAUGUUCAGCCUCACCUUGAGCCAGGAGGGUGGAGUCUGCUGUCUAUGGAUUGAAACCUCUAAAACCACAAGCCCUCAAAUAAACUUUUCCUCCCCUACAAUUGUGUUUGUCGAGUCUUUCAGUCACAGCGGUGAAAUAGCUGAAUAAAACACGAGU